RNA transcript from Sapajus apella (tufted capuchin), 1319 nucleotides. It is a transcript of the gene named AP-1 complex subunit mu-2 pseudogene, with no coding region annotated. The record is from RefSeq and is a predicted model, not a curated record. NCBI's taxonomy places the organism in Eukaryota, Metazoa, Chordata, Mammalia, Primates, Cebidae. The transcript has a single exon.
UGGCCACCAGCAUGUCCACUUUGGCUGUCUUCAUUCUCGAUGUCAAGGGCAAGCCCCUGAUCAGCCGCAACUACAAGGGCGAUGUGCCCAUGAGCAAGAUCGAGCACUUCAUGCCUCUGCUGGUGCAGCGGGAGGAGGAGGGUGCCCUGACCCCACUGCUAAGUGGGUGAAGCCCACUUCCUAUGGAUCAAACACAACAACCUCUACCUGGUGGCCACUACUUUGAAGAACACCAAUGCCUGCCUGGUGUACUCUUUCCUGUAUAAGACAAUAGAGGUAUUCUGUGACUACUUCAAGGAGCUGGAGGAGGAGAGCAUCCGGGGCAACUUUGUCAUUGUCUAUGAGUUGCUGGACGAGCUCAUGGGCUUUGGCAUCCUGCAGACCACUGAGAGCAAGAUCCUGUAGGAGUACAUCACUCAGCAGAGCAACAAGCUGGAGACAGGCAAGUCACCGGUGCUACCCACUGUCACCAGUGCUGUGUCCUGGUGCUCUGAGGGUAUCAAGUAUAAGAAGAACGAGGUCUUCAUCGAUGUCAUAGAGUCUGUCAACCUGCUGAGCGAGAUCGUUGGUACCAUCAAGCUCAAGGUGUUUCUGUUGGGAAUGCCUGAGCUGCGGCUGGGCUUCAAUGACCGCGUGCUCUUUGAGCUCACUGGCCUUUCAGGCAGCAAGAACAAAUCAGUAGAGCUAGAGGAUGUGAAAUUCCACCAGUGUGUGCGGCUGUCACGCUUUGACAAUGACCACACCAUCUCCUUCAUCCCGCCUGAUGGUGACUUUGAGCUCAGGUCCUACCGCCUCAGCACCAGGUGAAGCCACUGAUCUGGAUUGAGUCUGUCAUUGAGAAGUUCUCCCAUAGCCAUGUGGAGAUCAUGGUCAAGGCCAAGGGGCAGUUUAAGAAACAGUCAGUGGCCAACAAUGUGGAGAUACCUGUGCCUGUGCCCAGUGAUGCUGACUCCCCCAGAUUCAAGACCAGUGUGGGCAGUGCCAAGUAUGUGCCAGAGAAAAACGUCGUGAUUUGGAGUAUUAAGUCUUUCCGGGAGGCAGGGAGUACUUGAUGUGAGCCCGUUUUGGCCUCCCCAGCGUGGAGAAGGAGGAGGUGAAGGGCCGGCCCCCCACUGGAGUCAAGUUUAAGAUCCCUUACUUCACUGUCCCCGGGAUCCAGGUCCGACACAUGAAGAUCAUUGAGAAAAGCGGUUACCAGGCCCUGCCCUGGGUUUGCUACAUCACCCAGAGUGGGGAUUAUCAACUUCAUACCAGCUAGAAGGGAGAGGAGAUGGGGGCUUGAAGAGGAGGCUUCCCUACAGCCCCGGCUGCAGAUUUUA